GACGAACGCUGGCGGCGUGCCUAACACAUGCAAGUCAGGGAGAAAAGGGUAGCAAUAUCCUGAGUAAACCGGCGAACGGGUGAGUAACACGUAGGCAACUUACCUUGAGAACGGGAAUAACCCCGGGAACCGGGGCUAAUACCCGAUGUUAUUCCGUUGUAGCAUUGCAAUGGAAUAAAAAGACCCGCAAGGGCGUCACAAGAUAGGUCUGCGUCCCAUUAGAUAGUUGGCGGGGUAACAGCCCACCAAGUCGACGAUGGGUAGCUGGUCUGAGAGGACGAUCAGCCACACUGGAACUGAGACACGGUCCAGACUUCUACGGAAGGCAGCAGUGGGGAAUAUUGCUCAAUGGGCGAAAGCCUGAAGCAGCGACGCCGCGUGAAGGAUGAAAUCCGUUAGGAUGUAAACUUCUUUUGCGGGGGAAGAAUGUGCGCCUUGGGCGCAUUGACGGU
Molecule: ribosomal RNA, 452 nt
Filed under: uncultured bacterium
Lineage: Bacteria
Description: bacterial SSU rRNA
Rfam family: Bacterial small subunit ribosomal RNA
Source: RNAcentral